AAACGAGCGAGUCAGUUUCGGUGCCCCCUCCCAGAGUGGUAGAUAUAACAGAGUGGCGACACUUCCAUUGGACUCCGUUGUAGCGCCUACUUCCAGGGUAUGGAGCCUUGAAUAGUUCCAAACAACCAUUUUACGGCGUAGGAGAUCAUUCAUUUCCAUUGCUGGCCGUUGAGUAACUUCUGAGACGACCGAUUGCCUGCUGGUUUGUGAGCUCGACUUCGCCAUGUGAAGGGUGAUGUUCAGCACAUGAAGCCCUACAGAUGCCGCCGCUUCAACAAUGCUGAUUAUGAUGGGCGGUGAAUUUAACCUGUAUGGCUUUUUCG
Gadus macrocephalus (Pacific cod) is the source of this 323-nucleotide long non-coding RNA. RefSeq lists it as uncharacterized. The transcript is spliced from 3 exons. NCBI's taxonomy places the organism in Eukaryota, Metazoa, Chordata, Actinopteri, Gadiformes, Gadidae. The record is from RefSeq and is a predicted model, not a curated record.